UGUAUUUGUAUGGUGUUAUUAGUGGCAUUGACUCACUGUCCUGUUAUGAUUUCCUCAGGAAUGUAAGAGCUUGGGGUUUGACACGAUCGAGCUGAAUGAGGGAUCUCUUGAACUUCCCGAAGAAACUCUUCUGAGGUGACAGAGCAUUUGGAGCCUAUGCUAUCUCGAGCCCACGAUAUGUCAUUUUCUGAGACUGAUGAUUUUUUCUUCUUGCAUUCAUCUUUCCGACUAUUGCUCUUCGACUGUGAUGGUAACAUCUUCUUGCCACGUGCUCUGAUCAUAUUACACGAAAGAUGGUGCUGCAGUAGGAGCACCUGGCUGAGAGAUGCUUAGAAGCUGGGGCCGUUACGAGAACGAACGACGCUGAUGAUGUCUGUAAACACGCUGGCUCGAUGCAUGCAGACAUAAUCGCAAAGGUCAUUGGGCGCGUUGGUGCGGAGAAGACCGUGUUCGAAGCAUCAAAUCCGAGAACAUCAGAGUGGUUCAUUAAACAAUAUGGUCUUCUCCAAGAAAAACUACACAGUGUUGAGUUGAUUUUUAAAAUAGACCAUGAAGUUCUAAUUUCUCGCAUUGUAAGACAAAACAAGAUCUUCUUAAUCUUUUCCAUCAAGGCCAACGGAUCAAGUGAUUCGAGCUUUUCAAAUUUCUUUCAACGGUCCACCUGUUAUGACUCUUAAAAGCUGAGAUAAUUUUUUGCCGUUGGAUGAAAUUUUGAAGAUUAGGAUCACUUGAUCCGAUAACCUUGGUGGAAGAGAUCCAGAGAUUAUCUCUUUCCUUGUAAGACGAAGUUUUAAAAUUGUACACAUUAGCCCAUUUAA
RNA transcript from Pyrus x bretschneideri (Chinese white pear), 818 nucleotides. RefSeq lists it as uncharacterized. The record is from RefSeq and is a predicted model, not a curated record. The transcript is spliced from 4 exons. NCBI's taxonomy places the organism in Eukaryota, Viridiplantae, Streptophyta, Magnoliopsida, Rosales, Rosaceae.